UACGUAGGGAGCGAGCGUUGUUCGGAUUUACUGGGCGUAAAGCGUGCGUAGGCGGUGUGUUAAGUUUGUUGUGAAAUCUCCCGGCUUAACCGGGAGGGUGCGGCGAAUACUGAGAUGCUGGAGUGCGGGAGAGGUAAGCGGAAUUCCUGGUGUAGCGGUGAAAUGCGUAGAUAUCAGGAGGAACACCUGCGGUGUAGACGGCUUACUGGACCGUAACUGACGCUGAGGCACGAAAGCGUGGGUAGCAAACAGG
This 253-nucleotide ribosomal RNA is filed under the name uncultured bacterium. Its description in RNAcentral is "partial 16S ribosomal RNA". It matches the Rfam family "Bacterial small subunit ribosomal RNA", at positions 524 to 776 of the family's 1533-position model. The record is from RNAcentral.